Molecule: long non-coding RNA, 4252 nt
Organism: Beta vulgaris subsp. vulgaris (sugar beet)
Lineage: Eukaryota; Viridiplantae; Streptophyta; Magnoliopsida; Caryophyllales; Amaranthaceae
Exons: 3
Source: RefSeq, a predicted model, not a curated record
AUGAUCGAGAAAUAAUAUCAAAGUGAAAGUAUUGGGUCAGACCGUCUGACCCAAUAUGUUUCGUCGGACGAAGCAAUCUUUGCCAAUUUUUGCUUCGCAGUUGGAGAGAGAGAAAGAUAGAAACAGAGAUUAAGAGAGAGAGAGAAAGAUAGAAACAGAGACGAAGAGAGAUAGGAGAGAGAGGUAAAGAGAAACCCUUUUAUGACAUCUUAUUACUUUACCAUAUUAUGAUUCAGUAUCGUGCUUGACAAUAUUCUAUUGCAAUUUGCAAGUGGGAGAUGUUGAAUGCUUCGACGACAUACAGAUUGAAUUCCAGACGAGGCCAUUCCUAUUCUUCUCUAUUUUAUUGCAAUUUGCAAGUGGCACGGAGAUCGAGAUAUACAAUCUACAGCCCGUCAGAGCUUGCCGAACGCCGAAGCUUCCAUGAAACUAGUGUAGAUGAAGGCGAGGAGGUAGAGGAGAGAAAUAGAGGGAGACCAAAGAAGAGAGAAAAUAUAGAGAAAAGUGAAGCAGAGGUUGGCUGGUGAGAAGAGAAAAUAGAGACAAAGAGACGAAGGUAAAAAUUUGGCACACGUGAGUUAUUUUACACAUAAAUAUGGUGUAACAUUAUCCAAGACGCUUUCUACAAAAAAUUAUUGUUAAUCCAAUCCAUUCAGGACUUUCUAUAUCCUUGUAUAUCCCGAAAAUUUGCAUGGCAAUAACAAUGAAGUUCCUGUACUUACAUGUGAUAGUCAUAUUAUAGCAUAUUAUUAGUAGGCAGUACAGUGUUGUAUAACAGGCUAUUAAUGAAAAAGAUCACAAUACUUUCAGUUUGGACUAGUCCUUGGCUAUUAUAGCUUGCUCUUCGGAACUCCAACUGGUGUAUUUCUUGAUUUUUUCUCAACCACACGAGAAAGCUGUUUCACUGCAUCUUUCGGUAGAUGGCGUGGUCGGCUCAGCCAAAGACCACCAUCAACCGGAAGAAUUGUUCCGUUGAUGUAUUUACCUGCAAUUGCAAAAUUGACCCAAGUUAACAAUGUAAGGUGCCGCUGAAGAAAAUUGAUACCCAAAUAUUUCGUGGAAAAUGUGUCAGCACGAUUAAACAAUGAUGAGAGCCCACACCAUGCUCAAGUAAAACUUUCUACAAGAUUUGUGUUACUCAACAGUAUCAUUUUAUCAGAAACUAAACUGCAAGUCUGCAAGUAACAUACCGUACUUCAAUUACUCUCCUUAAAACGGAUGUCAACUUUACCAUAUACAGACAUCAGUAGUAGCCACUAUAUCUAAAGAUAGCAGAAAGCAAAAGAUAAGAAAUGAAAGAUAAUAAGCAUAUAAUUAGCAUCUAAGCAAAUUGACACUUCUUAAGGUAUUCAUUUAAACAUUGAGUGGAAUAAAAAGAAUAACAUAGCAACCACCCUCCAUAGAUAACAUAUUUGGCAACUGGUGUAGUGGACAUCUAGACUACAACCCCCUAAAUUGCAUGGAGUUUUGUCAUAGAGAAUGAGACGUUUGACAUGCACUAAACUUGAAAACACUUUAGGAUGGAACUUCUUGACAAAUUGAUGAUCUUUUCAGUCAGAACUCACUAAUGAAAAGAGAGAGAGACACAGAGAAUGAACUAUUAAUCCUCUAAGUAGAAUCUGUCACAUAAUUUGUUGACCAUCUUUAGCCAUACACAAGGGACCGCACUGCAAGGAACCAAGCUCGAAGAUUCCUCAUAACUUACUCUAGAAGGGGUAAGAAAGGAAUUACACACACUCCAGGGUGACUCAGCAUUCAGUACAACAGAGAAGGCCAGAGUAGUGGGGUAUAUUCCUAAAAGUGACCCUCACUAAUGAUUGACACUAACUUCUUGAAGGAGGAAUAGUGACAUGUACUGUGUAGGUCAGCAGCAACAGCUAUAAGUAUAAAUAAGAAGCAAGGCGGAGUAGAAAGGGCAUGAAAAAUAUCUUGCAAUAGCUUACUUAAUUGGAGAGACCUCACCUCUCGAAUCAACCUGGUAUCAGAGCAAGAUUGCUUAGAUCGGAGAAAUGGAGAGCAACUGACAAAGGUUAGACCAGCUACAACAAAGCGUGGCAGGAAUAAACACAACCCUCACUGAGAUGCUUAACAACCAGCGGGGCUUUGAAGAGAGAAUGGAGGGACGAGUAAAUCGGGAGAGAGAAAACCAGGUGAUGUUAGCACAACUACGGGACGAGCAAAGCAGGUUUCAGGAAGAGAUAAGGGCAGCCAUAAGGGUCACCUCAGCCACACCCUCUGUGCGACUACGGGGAAACCCUAGGAGGGCGAGAAAAUGAGAUGGCGUUUGAGACGCCACUAAACGGAGAAGAGGACAAAGAGUUGGGAUGGAACAACCAGGGCACGGCGAUGCUCGAAAACUGGAGAUUUAAGAAGUUAGAUCUACCUCUUUUCACUGGUGAAAACCCAGAUGGUUGGAUACUUCGAGCGAAGCGAUAUUUCAAAUUUCACCGCCUCACGGAGGAUGAAAGGAUGGAGGCUGCGGUGGUGGCUUUUGAAGGAGAAGCGCUUCUUUGGUUUCAGUGGGAGGCAACCGACGGACGAUCGCACGUUGAGAGGAGCUCAAGGCAAUGAUAUUGAGGCAAUUUAGGCCGACGUCCGCUGGAAGCCUCCAUGAGCAGUGGCUCAACCACCGACAGACUGGGGAAAUGGGUAGUCAAAUAUCGAAGGAAGUUUAUUGAACUUCUGGUCCCUUUGGGAAAUCUACUAGAGAAAGUGUUAAGAGGCCAAUUGGUUAAUGGACUUAAAGAGGAUGGACGGGUCAAGAUCCGCCUUUUAAUCCCAAGAACUCUUGACUUGGCAAUGGACCUGGCCAUAAGGGCCGAAGAUAAGAUAAAAUGCUUCCCUUUCCACAAAAACACCUAGCCAAACCCAAAUAUGACCAGAACCCACAACAAUACCCAAACCCGUUUUUCACCCACCAACUUUCAUGCUGGAUGCACCUCAUAUGUAGCCCAACCCACAAAAACAACCCAAUCCUACAAUUCCAACCCAUAGAGGAGCACUCAAACACGAUCCACCCUUGGAGUGAGGUGAUUGUCGGAGCAAGAAAUGCAAUAUAGGAGGGAAAAGGGGCCAUGCUUUAGGUGCGACGACAAAUGGACUGUGGAACAUUGGUACCGAAGAGGCGAGUUAGGGGUGAUUAUCACGGCUGACCACUCACGGGAAGAAGAGAUUGAGCUGGAAGGAGAGAAGAGUCAUGAGGAACCCGUGGGUGAGCUGCAUGGAUCCACCGGAAAUAUCCCUGAACUCGGCGUUGAGAAUAGAUAAACGGUGAAGAUGAAAGGAGAAAUCCAAGGCUAAGAUGUGGUGGUUAUGGUCGAUCUUGGGGCAACACACAACUUUAUUUCCAGCAAGAUUAUGCAGAAGCUUGCGUUAGUCAUCACCCCUACCAAGGAGUUCAGUGUCACCUUAGGCACCGAGGAAGUUGUGCAAGGUCGAGGUAAGUGCCAAUCCAUUCUUUUACACCUACAAGGCAUUGAGAUAAUCGAGGAUUCCUACCAUUAGACCUCGGAAAUUCCGAUCUUAUUCAGGGAAUUCAAUUGUUGUCCAUACUAGGGACUAUGACCAAUAACUGGAGACCACAAGUCCUUAAAUUCAAUAUAGGCCACGAAAGUGAAUUUUGAAGGGAAUCUCUCUUUGGGAAAAACGUUGAUCUCAUUGAAGGCCAUGGAGACCACCACUAGUAAGGAAGAAGGGGGGGUACCUAAUGGAGCUAAACAGAUUGGAAGGAAGGGGAAAACCACCUUGAUAGAAGAGUUUUGAGGAUUUAGCUUCCACUUAUCAAGCUUUCAAGAUCCAAUUUUUGGGGCUUUUGUAUAGCUGGACUCAAGUUUAAGAUAAAUUGCUCGAUUUCUCUUGAUUCUGUAGAUAAAUUGCUCUACAGUAGCUUGAGUCUUUUCUCCUAGCCCUCCUUUUUCUAUAUGGGUGACACCCCCUUGGUGUCUUUCCGUCUUUCUAAUAUGAUUCUUUACUUUUCCAGGAAAAUAAGAAGCUAGUGCAAGAAGUGACCAGCUGAUCCUAACAGUCUCUCAAUGUCUCUUUACAGUUUACAAGUUAAUGCAGCGUGGAACAAAAAGUAUCUAUCACAGGGAACUAAACUACUACAGUCAAAGAACCACAUCUGGAAACAGAGUGGGACAAGCUUUCAGCCAGAGGGUUUCUACUUAUAAAGUUCAGAGUGUAUCAGCGAUUCCGAUUUUGUAAUCAUACAAAUGCGAUAUUAAGUUCUAGAAAAAAUUCAGGACCAAAUUUA